RNAcentral lists this ribosomal RNA (270 nucleotides) under uncultured archaeon. RNAcentral describes it as "partial 16S ribosomal RNA". It matches the Rfam family "Archaeal small subunit ribosomal RNA", at positions 477 to 747 of the family's 1478-position model. The record is from RNAcentral.
CAGCACCUCAAGUGGUCAGGAUGAUUAUUGGGCCUAAAGCAUCCGUAGCCGGCGCUGUAAGUUUUCGGUAAAAUCUGUACGCUCAACGUACAGGCUGCCGGGAAUACUGCAGCGCUAGGGAGUGGGAGAGGUAGACGGUACUCGGUGGGAAGGGGUAAAAUCCUUUGAUCUAUUGAUGACCACCUGUGGCGAAGGCGGUCUACCAGAACACGUCCGACGGUGAGGGAUGAAAGCUGGGGGAGCAAACCGGAUUAGAGACCCGCGUAGUCC